GGUGGCAAAUGAUGCAGAUAUCUUAUCCUACACGCUGAACAUGCCGUGUAGACUAUACUCUGCUUAUUAUAUCUGAUGCAAUU
This 83-nucleotide small nucleolar RNA is filed under the name Ananas comosus (pineapple). Its description in RNAcentral is "Small nucleolar RNA R16". It matches the Rfam family "Small nucleolar RNA R16". Rfam says of the family: snoR16 is a member of the C/D class of snoRNA which contain the C (UGAUGA) and D (CUGA) box motifs. Most of the members of the box C/D family function in directing site-specific 2'-O-methylation of substrate RNAs. The record is from Rfam by way of RNAcentral. Lineage: Eukaryota; Viridiplantae; Streptophyta; Magnoliopsida; Poales; Bromeliaceae.